UUCUCUUUCACAUGUUUCACUUAUAAGGUUGUUUAAAAAAUAACAACUACCUUCUCGGUUUGCACCAUAACCACAAAAUAUAUUGAUUAGCUGGCAGGCAUCAAUAAAAAUCUACAGCACAUUCACAAAGUCUUCAGACCCCUUCACUUUUUUCACAUGUUGUAAUGUUGCAGCCUGAUGCUAAAAUCAAUUAAAUUCAUUUUCCCUCUUCAAUCUACACUCAAUUCACCAUAAUUACAAACUUACAGAAAAUGAAUUUUAUGAAUUUUUGCAAAUGUAUUUUAAAACUAAAGCCUGAAAUACCACAUUGACAUAAGUAUUCAGACAGUUUACUGUGAUUCUUGAAGUUUAGUUUAGUUCAGGUUCCUCCAUUUCCCUUGAUCAUCUCUGAGAUGUUUCUUCACCUUGACCAAGAACCUGAUGGUCACUCUGAGCUCCAGACAUCCUGCGUGGAGAUGGAGAAACUUCCAGAAGAACAACCAUCACUGCAGCUCUCCACUGAUCUGGGUUUUAUGUCAGAGUCCAGACGAAGCCUCUCCUCAGGGUCAGUUUGUAUAAAAGCAGCUAAAGCACUCUGAGACUGAGAGAAACCAGAGUCUCUGGUCUGAUGAGACCAGGACUGAACUGUUUGGUCUCAGUUCUAAGAGUCAUGUCACUGCUCAUCACCUGAACAACACCAUCCCUACAGUGCAGCAUGGUGGAGGCAGCAUCAGGCAAUGGGGGGGACAGGGAGACUGGUCGGGCUGAGGGAAAGCUGAACGGAGUAAAGUACAGAGAGAUCUUUAAUGAAAACCUGGUCCAGAGCUCAGGACCUCAGACUGGGCUGAAGGUUCACACAGCCAAGAAAACACAGGAGAGGCUUAGAAAGGACUCUGUGAAUGUCCCCGAGUAGACCAGCCAGAGUCCUGAGCCUGAACCACAUCCAACAUUUCUGGACCCGAACAUGUCUGUCCACUGACGUCCCCAUCCAACCUGACAGAGUCUGAGAGGAUCUGCAGAGAAGAACAAAGAAAAUCCCAAAUCCAGAUGUGCAAAGGUUGUGUUGUCAGACCCAAGAAGACUGGAGGCUGUAAUCACAGCCAGAGGUGCUUUAACUAAGUCCUGAGCAAAGUGUCUGAACACUUACGUUAGUGAUAUUUCAGUUUCUCCUUUUUGAUACAUAUGCAAAAAAAUUCUAAAAUUCAGUUUUCUGAAGGGAAAAGGGAAUUUGAUUUUUAUUAAUGAUUUGAUUGGAAAAAAUGAACAAUUUUAACAUGAGGCUUCAACAUAGCACAAUGUGAAAAAAAGUGAAGGGGUCUGAACACUCUCUGAAUGAACUGUAUAUGGGGAGACUUCAAACAUGUGUCCAGUCAACAAAUCAACGUCUGUACACAGACACUCGUUCCCUCUGUUGUAAACCACGGCUACAGUAACGACAGGACUGGUACAGCAGCCACUUACAUAACAGCAGCAGCAUAUGACACAGGCUUGUUUCCCAGUCAAAGGAUUAAGCUCAUUUAUGUAAUGCUCUUACAUUGAGGGGCUUGUGCUGAGCACCAGGAAGACUGCAGCGUCCUGAGUGUUAAUGGCUGCGGAGCUCAAUGAAUAGAUAGUAAGAGAGAGAGAGUGACCGGCUCUCCAGGCUCAGGCUGGAAUGUGGAGGGAAACACUGUGUGUGUGCUGUAGUGUGGUCAAUCAUAGUCCAGGUCCAGGAGAAUGAAACACCCACCAUCUAACCUUAAAAGCUCCUGUUAGAGGUGUGCCACAUCAUACAGUUUAUGUUAAUACCAGCAUGAAUCAUGUGAGAAAAAUUUGUCAUAUCAUGAUAUUAACUGGAGAAACUGGUUCAAAGAAAAGGGAACAAGUUGUGACGAAGGAAGAAGUUUGAUAACAACAUCACGCAGUUAUCUACUGACCUGACCUGUGUGAGGAGAAUCUCAGAGGAGAGCAAACAGUAGGCUGAAGUUAGUUUGAUAAUCACCAUUGGACACCCAAUAAGGCCUGCAUAGGGUUGAAGUUAGUUUAAAGUUAAGGUCUAUUUUAACAUCAGUAGAUUCUUGUGUAAAACGUAUCUUUAACAUGUGGCCAUUGAGAUGGUUAUUCACAAAAUACCAAGACACCUUGUUAUCAUGAUAUUCCUUUAAGGCCAUAUCACCUUCCUCUGACUACACGUCCUCACAGCUGACAAACAUUUCCCUUUUAAUUUAGACCCAUUUUUACAAACAGGAGGGUUUAAUCAACUGACCAGUUGCUAAUAUUGGUAACUGAUGCUACAGGAAGCUGCUGCUGCCUCACAUUAAAGUGGAAAGUGGAAAAUUUGAACAGUGACGCAGUGACAAGAAGUAUUUUUUGUUUUAGGAAUCUUAAAGGGGAAGUCCAGUUUGUUCUUAUUGCCUUUGGCCAUCAUCAAUAAUAAUGACAUCCUGCUCACCAAGUUCAUAGCUGAGAUCUAGUAACACGGAAGCAUUGCUAGAGAGAAGUCUGAUGGGGGGUACAAUUCAUUUUUAGUUCAGGAUAAAAAUCCAGAUAAUAUGGUUAAACUGUUGUCUUGCUAAAGGCAACAUGUUCUGCUUUUUGUGAUUUUUCUCUUUUAUAUACUGUUGUGAUGUUGGAUGUCCAUGUUAAACACAGUUAAAAUUCCCAAACUACAUAAACUUAUAAUAAGAUGCCUCCUGCAAGACAAAAGCCAGAGUUUCAGUCUGCUCUGAAAACUUCGUUCAACGUUUUUUCUGCUCCAUGACACUGAUGUAUGAACUCUGUGGAAAUCCAUAAACAAACCUCCGCUCCAGGCCUCAGCACCAGAGCACACCCAUGUAGUGCAACCUACUGGGACUUCAACCACAGUGCCUGGAAGAAAGAGUUUCUGUUGUGGCUGCGGUGGAGCAAAGGCAACUUUAGGCACUAGCGGGUAUCGUUUGCAUAUUUUGGAUACAGCAGCUCAUACAGCAGCAGUACAAUUGGUACAUAUUUGUCUGGACUCUGCGUUCCACCAAGUGACCGCGUUCAGCAGCCAUCACCCGCCUGCUUGCUGGGAUUGUCGGCUGCUACUGAAGGAUGUGCAGCUCCAGCUUCAGAACCAUAACCUACUUUCCAUCUCGGUCCUGAUGAUGAAAUGAGAAUGAGAUUAGACAUUGAUAUGAAACAUUUUAGCUCAACUCAGCACUACUUUCAACCACAAUGGCUAAUGCAGUAAUCAUGGUUGUGGCACGAGAGGAAUGCUAUGCUGUAUGAGUAUUGUAGCGGUGUGACCCGUCCAUUCCAGGCAACCAUAAACUUGUUACCAGAUCAGCACAGUUUAAGCUUGAAAAUUUAAAAUUGGACAACACUGAGGAAUUAAAAAAACGUGUAGGGGCCAAUAUAUCACUGAGCCCCUUCCCAAUUCUUUUCAGCAGUUAGAUGAGAGUAAUAGCUCAACAGAGGAGAAGGAAAUGGUCAUCAAGUUCAACACUACCUAUAACAAAGCAAGAAAAAAAAGGAUGUGACCAAAUCAUGUGCUGGUGCAACCAACUGAGGAAGUUGGCAGCACCAGUACUAACAGUGGAAAAGGAGGAGCCCUGAGAAUAGGUAAGUCCCACUAGAAUUACUACAAAAACUAAAAUAAACAUACAAAACUCUUUCAUCAGGCUACAUAAGAAUUGGGAGUGGUCUUUAGAAAAUGUGAAUUAAAGAAAAAUAUUUACAUGUCAGUCACUUUUCCGGUUCACCUUGAACUGAAAUAGACACUGUAGUAUACUUUGAAAGCUACAUUUAAGGAUCACACAAUUACAGAGGUGGUGUGCCAUCACUUUCAGCAAGGUAAGCAGUUAAAGCUAAUAAUAGACAUCAGUUACAAUGAUACUGAAGUGGAGGGGAUCUCUCUCCAGUGUUCUGUCCCCUAAAGGAUCUGAUGUUUGUUAGUAUCCAUCAUGUAAUUCACUGCCCUCUUGUGGCCACAGUAGACUAGUAGACUGUCUCUGGAAGCUAGCUUGACUGUAGGUCGUGGUUUUUAUCAUUUCAUGUCAUUUUCAUGGCAUGGCCAUGUCCUGUUGGCAAUGGCUUGGGUUUGUCAUGUGGAGAAGGAAGCAGCAUUUUUUAUGUGUAUGAGCGUUGUGGAUAUACCUGGGAUCUUUGAUAGGUGACCAGCUAUAGCUAGCUACAGACAAGUGACUGCCCUUGACUCAGUUUCCAUUGUUCUGAGAUCAGUUAUGAUAUUGCACACAUUAUUAUACACUUGUGCAGAUGUGUGUAGAAGGUAAACUUGCGCAUUGGAAAACUUCUUAAACGUUCUUUUCUUCCUAAGCGUUAAGAGGCGGCAGUAGCAAGUAAAGUAAGUAAAUUAGACUGAUUUGUCAUCUCAGAUCAGUAUGAGUUGUCUUACUAAUCACAUUGGUCAACGAUGACGAGAGAGGUUGUAUUGUGGAACAACUUUUAAUAACUUCUUUUGCAAAGAACGCUUUCACAGACAUGUAUUUAUGUAUUUAAAGUUUACCAUGUAACACAAUACCCACACCUUUUAAUUCUCUUUGCUUUUUAGUAUCAUGUUGAUAUCUUUAACUCUGUAAGGGUUCGCUGUGCAGUAAGUUUGAGGCAGAACAUUGAAUCAGGAAAAUACAGGAUUCUGUAUUGUCACUGUGUGGUCUGUCUGGUUAAUAUUUGCCAUUAAUCAAGAUUACCAUAGAAGUGUCAUUUGAUAUGUUUACUCUCAGUUCAAAGCAAUAAAGCUAAUUCUUCAGUGCAGCAAGGUGAAGAUGUCCAGGCAGAGAGCAGCAGGAUACAGGAGAGAAACUGUCUGCACAGGAAAGACAGGCAGCACAAAAUCAUGAGACAGAACAGGCCCUGAAUUAAAGAGAGAUUUGCUACUACUACUACUACUACUACUACUGUCAAGAAAAGUAAGAGAGACCAUCAAAGGAGGAUGUAGUGCCUGAAGACAACAGCAGUCAGCAGCAUCAGGAACGUCUUGAGUUAUCCACAGGAAGUUAAGAUGACCAGUCUGACUUUCUACUCUGGAACCUCCUACACCAACGACACAACUUCAGGACAAGAAAAAUCUUUUCCCUUGAGAUGGGACAUGAUCUGGACUGUGUAGAUAAAAGUCUCCGGCAGCUUUGUGCAUUACAUUCUUCAGGCUGUGUUUACAUUUCAUUUGAUAUAAAUAAAGUGUUUUA
This is a long non-coding RNA of Seriola aureovittata, 5126 nucleotides long. RefSeq lists it as uncharacterized. NCBI's taxonomy places the organism in Eukaryota, Metazoa, Chordata, Actinopteri, Carangiformes, Carangidae. The transcript is spliced from 3 exons. The record is from RefSeq and is a predicted model, not a curated record.